Molecule: long non-coding RNA, 5822 nt
Filed under: Chlamydomonas reinhardtii
Lineage: Eukaryota; Viridiplantae; Chlorophyta; Chlorophyceae; Chlamydomonadales; Chlamydomonadaceae
Description: long non-coding RNA (CREI_LNC001161)
Source: RNAcentral
GCGACACAUGGCUCAUUGAACUUUGGGCUUGACAAAAUAGGUUGCGACUUAGCGAACAUGCGCAUAUGCGUGUGGGGGCGCGGAUGUUUUCCCCCUUGACAGAGGUGGAGAGGCGGCAGGGUUCGCACUAACCCAGGUUGCGAGUGUGGAAGGUGCGGGUACGUAAUUGUCAGACCAGUAGGCAGUCGGACAGAGGCGGUCGGACUGGGAGGCAGAUUACGUAAGUAGCAACGUUGCACGAGUGGUCUGUUACGUAAUUGACAACGUUGCACAUGGAUUCUAGAUCCGUGUACGACCAAUGGGGGUCGCCCCUGAGUAUUUAAGCGGCUGACCGCUUGUUGCUUAGGCAUAGCGCCGGGUGCUAGCCUGACGUAACAUUCCAGGUAGCCUUCCCCAGGCAAUCAAUCAACACCUCAUCGCGAUAGGGCCGGGUGCUAGCCUGACGUAACAUUCCAGGUAGCCAUUCCCAGGCAGCAUCUAUCACUGAGGGCACCAGACGUGACAUUCCUGGUAGCCGCUCCCUAACCAAACACUCACGCACCAGUGGAUGGUCUUUCCCACUGCGCUGCUACUGUAACGGUAUACGGUUGACUUACCGCCCCAUGUCAAUCAUCCCUCGGGAGGGAAACUGCCUAAGACCGCGGGACGCGCAGCGGCAGCCUUCACCAGCAAUCCGCUUAGGCACUACGCUGCCCCCUCUCUGUCUCUUCAGGGGAACCAGCCGGCACAGCACCAGGGCACGUCCUCAUACGCCCCUCGUGUGCCCCCAGCGACAUCAGACGAUCCUAGGGCAGCCCCGUUACUCCCCAAGAUAGGCGGUUGGCUAGUCGCACGAUUAGUUCAACGCGAAAAUUUUGGGGGUGCGGCGCGUAGUUGGUAUCGAGACCAGGUUAGCUGGUGCUCGACUGGCGGGUCGUGCCUGGUCUCCCCUAAGUCUCGCAGCGCUAUCAAGCUAAGUCAGCAUGGCGACACCAUCGCACGUGCAGCCCAGCAGCGUCAAUUCCAUACCGUACUAUGAGACGGAUGAUUGCGCUCGGCAAUGGCUGGCACGGCUAGACCGCGCUAAGCGCAUGUACGGCUGGACGGACGACCAGACGCUGGAUGUGGCUGUCUGCCGGCUAGGAGACUCUGCCGCAACGUGGUAUUCAGGGGUUGAGAACUCCAUCACCACCUGGGCGCAGUUCCAAAUCACUUUCCAAGAGCGCUUUGAGGCGAAUCAGGAGGAGUUAUACAACCUGCUUGCACGCUGCCAACAGCGCCGGCGUGAACCCGUGCGAGAGUACGCGGAUCGGUUUCGUGACCUGGCGUCGCAGCUGUCGCUCAAUACCUCUGACCCCGUCCAUACCUUCUCCUUCCUUCGUGGGCUACAACCGGACAUCUACGAUCAGGUGUUCUUGCUGAGGCCCAAGACACUUGAAGAAGCAAUUCACGACGCCAUCUACAUUGAGGAAGGCUCGCAAUGCUACUCUGCACCAAGCAGCCGCAGUCACCGGUGGCGUGACCAGUCUCCCGGCCGCCGCCAUGGCCGCAACAGGGACCGGCGGUUCACGGACUGCCACUACCGCUCGUACGAUGAGUCUCAUUACUACGGCAGCCGUCCGUCACGACAUGGGCGCUACUCAUCGCCAUCAACACAACCCCAAGCAAACCGCGGGCGAGGUCACGACCAUCAUGACGUGCAACAAGUCGACUUGUACGACGCCGAUCAAGCGGAUGAAGCCGCUCUUGAGGGUCUUGCCGCUCACAUGGCACGGCUGAUGCGCCUGUUGGAGGAGGUGACAGGGCAAGGACCUCACAUGUUGGACAUGGCGCGAGACAGUCGUUACUACGAGGAAGAUACGUGCUACGUGCCGUAUGAGGAGUAUGAAACACACCCUGACGCCGAGCGAGGGGGCGAGCAGGUGACCGUCCCUUCCACACAACCGUAUGCGCCGGACACCCCUGAGCUCACACCAUAUUCCACACCUGUAACUGCGCUUGCGCACCCACCUCGCGCCACCUUCCCGACGCACGUUUACGUCAUGCAGCAGACCGUAUCCCCGCCGCCAGCAGUAAUACGGGAUGACACGCCCCAGCGGGCAUAUCACUUGGAGCAGAUUCCCGCGCAGCAGCCCGCGCAACCUGCGGAGGAGAGCCAUGAUGGUGCAAGCGAGGACGUGAAAGGCGUGGACAUGUACCCCAUGCCGUUGCAUCCAACACUCGGAUGGGACGCCGUAUGCAAUCAGGACCCGGCGCAGCCCAUCGAGAGCGCACCUACUGUAAACCCCGGCAGUUCCGUGCCUGGUGUCCAAUCGUCACUCCAACACUUGCCAACCGUGGAAAGGGAUACGCCCGUGCUCGAGUCGCCCGACACCCGCGAGAGGCUUACUCGGGAGUCACCCGCUGUGCAGCAGAUGCCGCCAGCAGCGCCGUAUUUGCCUGAGCACGCCUCGACACCACAGCUUCAGCAGACAGCGCUCCCGUCAGCUCCGCCGGCGGCUUGGCUUGCUUGUACGCCGCCGCGUGCUUGCCUUGAUGCCUCGACAGGGCAACCUGCCGAUAUGACAAGGUGUCAGGGGAAUCGCCAGUCAGAUGAGCUGCACGCGCCAGGUCUGAACACGACGGCCGCCGAGCUCCCAACCGUUACUCCCCGGUCAUCCAUCUUUCAUGCUCAAGGCUGUUGCGACACGCCACUUGUACCGCCAACCUUGCCACCAACCAGCGACACGGUGUUGGAGCUGCCACCCAAACCCAUGUUCCGUUCCCCUGACGAAGCACCAAAGUUGUCCACGGGACCCGAGCUCCCCUUUCACGUCCAGCUAUCGCUUGAUGCGAUUCGUCUCCUUCCGGCCCUGUCAAGCGCUCACCUGGCCGCGCAGGCGCCCGAUCGUGGGACGUGUGGCCUGCAACACACCGCCAUGUGGGACGUACUGCAAGACGGCAUGAGGAUGGGAGAGCAACGACAAGACGGCACGCCUAGUCAGGAGGACUCACGUCCUGUCACGCCCGCUGUGUGGCACCGGUACCCCCUGCCGCGCAACAUGGGCACUUCGCCUCGCAAACCCUCAACGAAUUAUAAGGUUGCUGGCCUACUGUACGCCCUGCUGCAUCGGGUCCUAUACCACACGGUCCUGGGCAAGAGCGACAACCACUCGCGGAGCAGCAGUCUCGACUCACCUGCUUUCAUGGCUGAGCACUCCGCUGAUGCAACAUGCACGUAUGAGGCGCCGGCGCCCACGCCACCACCGGAACCACCGCCGCGUGUGUGUACGGCAGCAUCAAACACCGCCACACGGACACCACAGCCCCGCCACCUGUGCAAGGGAGACCGUCGCACUUAAUAUCAGCAGGCCAAACUAGAAACGAAAUCUGGGAGCGAGGGAACUUUGUUUGGCAAACUCCGACCAGCAGCUGCCAACAUGGCGCUCACCAAAAGCUAGGGAGCUCUUGUACGCCGGUGUGACGCACGGAUGAUAAUCUGGAGCAGGCAAUUAGGAACGACUGGGAGGUAUCAAAGGCAGCGCAGAGCAGUCAGCCAUGCGGAGUCACCCCGUCCAAGUGCAAGGCCGUGGUAAGGCGGCAGUAGCAACACAGCAGUCGACUCGAACAGUAUUGAGACCCACCGGGGAUGGACGCUGCUGUGCUGAAGCCAUGGCCCUUACGCCGCGGCCUAUCUAAUGCUCCCACGUUUCGCGGCAGCAAGCAUGCUGCAGCUCACAGCGAGGAGACCCACCGGUGGUUGGACGUGGUUGGACUAGUAAAGGGAGAAGCGCUGCUAGCGCUGCUUACUCCAACUGCUUACUCCAUAAAAGACAACAGCGCAACCGCCUGCAACACUGCUAAGCGUAAGCACGAACCCGUACAACGGCAAAUCCCAAGUCUUCCCACAGUAUUGUCAGCAGGAGGUGUUCGCCAUUCGCCAUUCGCCAUUCGCCACCAACGGACAUUCGCCAUUCGCCAAUCAACCAACGGACAUUCGUCAUUCGCUAACCAACGGACAAGGGCAAAACACACACCUAUAAUUGCGGCUGGCCGCCGGACCCACAGCGAGCCUGCGAAGAGCCACGCACUCUCCAUGGCGUAGCACCUUGUAGUUCGAGUCCAACGCGCCAUUACUGGGACGCCGCAGCACAGUUCAACUGCUUUUGGCCGACGCGGUCGUCGGAUCAAUCGUGGGGGAGGUCACAGCUGUGGCGCGACACAUGGCUCAUUGAACUUUGGGCUUGACAAAAUAGGUUGCGACUUAGCGAACAUGCGCAUAUGCGUGUGGGGGCGCGGAUGUUUUCCCCCUUGACAGAGGUGGAGAGGCGGCAGGGUUCGCACUAACCCAGGUUGCGAGUGUGGAAGGUGCGGGUACGUAAUUGUCAGACCAGUAGGCAGUCGGACAGAGGCGGUCGGACUGGGAGGCAGAUUACGUAAGUAGCAACGUUGCACGAGUGGUCUGUUACGUAAUUGACAACGUUGCACAUGGAUUCUAGAUCCGUGUACGACCAAUGGGGGUCGCCCCUGAGUAUUUAAGCGGCUGACCGCUUGUUGCUUAGGCAUAGCGCCGGGUGCUAGCCUGACGUAACAUUCCAGGUAGCCUUCCCCAGGCAAUCAAUCAACACCUCAUCGCGAUAGGGCCGGGUGCUAGCCUGACGUAACAUUCCAGGUAGCCAUUCCCAGGCAGCAUCUAUCACUGAGGGCACCAGACGUGACAUUCCUGGUAGCCGCUCCCUAACCAAACACUCACGCACCAGUGGAUGGUCUUUCCCACUGCGCUGCUACUGUAACGGUAUACGGUUGACUUACCGCCCCAUGUCAAUCAUCCCUCGGGAGGGAAACUGCCUAAGACCGCGGGACGCGCAGCGGCAGCCUUCACCAGCAAUCCGCUUAGGCACUACGCUGCCCCCUCUCUGUCUCUUCAGGGGAACCAGCCGGCACAGCACCAGGGCACGUCCUCAUACGCCCCUCGUGUGCCCCCAGCGACAUCAGACGAUCCUAGGGCAGCCCCGUUACUCCCCAAGAUAGGCGGUUGGCUAGUCGCACGAUUAGUUCAACGCGAAAAUUUUGGGGGUGCGGCGCGUAGUUGGUAUCGAGACCAGGUUAGCUGGUGCUCGACUGGCGGGUCGUGCCUGGUCUCCCCUAAGUCUCGCAGCGCUAUCAAGCUAAGUCAGCAUGGCGACACCAUCGCACGUGCAGCCCAGCAGCGUCAAUUCCAUACCGUACUAUGAGACGGAUGAUUGCGCUCGGCAAUCGCGACACAUGGCUCAUUGAACUUUGGGCUUGACAAAAUAGGUUGCGACUUAGCGAACAUGCGCAUAUGCGUGUGGGGGCGCGGAUGUUUUCCCCCUUGACAGAGGUGGAGAGGCGGCAGGGUUCGCACUAACCCAGGUUGCGAGUGUGGAAGGUGCGGGUACGUAAUUGUCAGACCAGUAGGCAGUCGGACAGAGGCGGUCGGACUGGGAGGCAGAUUACGUAAGUAGCAACGUUGCACGAGUGGUCUGUUACGUAAUUGACAACGUUGCACAUGGAUUCUAGAUCCGUGUACGACCAAUGGGGGUCGCCCCUGAGUAUUUAAGCGGCUGACCGCUUGUUGCUUAGGCAUAGCGCCGGGUGCUAGCCUGACGUAACAUUCCAGGUAGCCUUCCCCAGGCAAUCAAUCAACACCUCAUCGCGAUAGGGCCGGGUGCUAGCCUGACGUAACAUUCCAGGUAGCCAUUCCCAGGCAGCAUCUAUCACUGAGGGCACCAGACGUGACAUUCCUGGUAGCCGCUCCCUAACCAAACACUCACGCACCAGUGGAUGGUCUUUCCCACUGCGCUGCUACUGUAACGGUAUACGGUUGACUUACCGCCCCAUGU